Long non-coding RNA from Patiria miniata (bat star), 1494 nucleotides. RefSeq lists it as uncharacterized. NCBI's taxonomy places the organism in Eukaryota, Metazoa, Echinodermata, Asteroidea, Valvatida, Asterinidae. The record is from RefSeq and is a predicted model, not a curated record. The transcript has 3 exons.
CGUGCGGCUGUUUGUGCACGGCCCGGAGAAGCAUUGUGUCUGAACAGACGGGACGCCAUUUUGAAAGAUGCAGACGAAAACUGCUGCUGAAUGUUUUUUUCUUAAAUAUUGUCCAUGACUUCUUCAGCUUCCUCAAUUUUCCAAGGAGAAUGUUAUCAUGAACGUGGUGGGAGUCCGAGAAAUGACAGUUUUCACCAAUAUUUUCUUGGUACGUUACAAACGGAAAUGCUGUCUGCAUUUUGCCUAUAUUGAUAGCGUCCCCAACAUUCCAUGGUUUUGGACUUCAAACUACAGGAAGCAUCACUGUAGCGGCUGUCUGCAUCUUGCCUAUACUGAUAAUGCCUCCAACAUUCCAUGGUUUUGGACCUCGAACUACACAAAGCAGCACUGUGGCAGGUGAGUUUGUAAUACGUUUGUCAGUGUUAUACCUAUCCACAUUCCAUCAAAGCUAGUCUUUGUUUAAAAUAAUUGGCGGUUGUGUAGGGCCCUGUUCCUUAUAAGGAACACAAAUCAGCUUUUAGGUUAUCAAACUUACCAAACUAGUUUGUGACAUUAGAAACCAACAGGUAUGCCCUAGAUAGAGACCAUGUUUUUUGUUUGAGAUAAUUGUUUGGUUAAAGUGUUGAUAGAAGAUGACAACACGCAAUAAGACAAUAAAAUGGCGAUCACCGCAAAGUACAGUGAGCAUACAAAAGUGUGUUAAUUUGCAUGGUGCUUACUAAACUGUUCAAUAUUACAAAAAACGAUGUCAUGAGAAUGAAGAGAAGUCUGCUUUAGACGGACAAAAGUCAUUUUGGAAUAAUCAAAAACACCUUUGACUUUAAUUUUAUACAAAACUAAAGAGGGGCCUACUACACAAUUGCCAAAAAAAUGGGAAACUCCUGAAGGUUAAAGUAAACAAAAAAUGUUGAGCUGAUUCAAUUGCAUUUUAAAGAGUAAGGUCUCAAUGUUUCAAUGUCUAAAUGGUUUUCAAUGUGUACACCACUGAAAUGUCUCAGUUAUUCCAACAAUGAUGAGCAGUGAUGUAUCAAAACCUCAAAUCCUUGACUUGGAAGGCGCAUAAGAUCAUUUGCUCUUCAUGCACUGCAUUUGUUUCCAAUAAUAACACCACUCAAAAUCCAAAGAAGUAUGUUCAAAACCUAGCCUGCUGAAGUUUCAGCUGAGUGGAGAAUUAUGAGAAUUUUUGUGUGUGGAAAACUCUAAUUACUAUUCACAUUUUCUGGAGAGCCCCCCCCCCCCCCCAUUUGUAUUAUACAGCAGCUGCUUAUAUUUGUAGAUAGCGACAGUAUUGGUUAUCUUCCAUGCAAUGUCUAAUGGUUUGAUGGAGUGUGGAUUGGAUACAGUAUCUUACCCUUAAAAAUAACGGCCGUAAAACCUUCAGAUAUUAAAGGGAAAAUACAACAUUUGCAAACAUCAAAAAAUAAAACUGCCAAAUCAUUUUGAAAUACCUUGCUGGACUGUUAGUGAAUGACAGUGUAAAGCAUUUUGUAAAAU